UCCAGGUCAUGUAACCUUGCUCACUGUUGUGGAAAGCCUGAGGAGCUCCACGAGGGGUUUAAAAGAGAGAUCUUCUUCUCCUGUUCAGAUCUGCUUGCUGCUUUCAGGAGU
RNAcentral lists this long non-coding RNA (111 nucleotides) under Calidris pugnax (ruff). RNAcentral describes it as "lncRNA (ENSCPUG00000018024.1)". The record is from RNAcentral. Lineage: Eukaryota; Metazoa; Chordata; Aves; Charadriiformes; Scolopacidae.